Salvia hispanica is the source of this 520-nucleotide non-coding RNA. The record is from RefSeq and is a predicted model, not a curated record. NCBI's taxonomy places the organism in Eukaryota, Viridiplantae, Streptophyta, Magnoliopsida, Lamiales, Lamiaceae.
UUCUUCUUCUUCUUCUUCCUCACACUCUCUGCCAUCAUUCGCUAACACGUUGUCUCAAAUUGUCUCCUUCCCCUCUGCAAAAUAUACACAACAUCUCUUUGCCGCCUCCUUUCUUCAGCUCCAGCGUUUAUUCUAGCUGUUUCAGAUCUCUACUGCAGCUGGGUGUUUUGAAGAAAAUGACAGUGAGAAAUGAGAUACAUGUGCAAACCACGUCUUGUGUGACUAUAUCUUGGUCUAGCGCUACUUGCUUCAAUAAUAGCCCAAGUCAAUGGCCAGAUGGUGUCUCUCACGAUAAUUGAUCAAGCACAAGAAAAGCUUGCACUUUGUAUAGAUGGGACUUCAGGAGGUUAACAUUUUGAUCUAGGAUUUGGCGAUGGAGCUAAUAAUUGGAUGAUCAUGUUAAUGGGUGGAGGAUGAUGUAGUCGUAAUUUGUGGUGUUAUAGAAUUGGGAAAUUUCUUGAUAGUGCAACUAAUAUCCUACUUCAAUAUUUUGAAGGAAUUUUAUCUUCGGAUCAAUCAA